Alteromonas sp. RW2A1 is the source of this 132-nucleotide non-coding RNA. The record is from Rfam. Lineage: Bacteria; Pseudomonadati; Pseudomonadota; Gammaproteobacteria; Alteromonadales; Alteromonadaceae.
UUUCUAAGACGUUAUGUAUGGGUUCAGAAUUACAACAAAAAGCCCCGCUAGUCCGGGGCUUUUUGUUGUAUUAAAACCUAGAGAAAUUCGUUUUUCUUAGGUGAUGACAGGUGGGCUUUAUGCCCUUUUUUU